GUUUUUAUAGUUUAAUUAAAAAUAUUGGUCUUGUAAAUCAAAGUUAAAUUUAUAUUUUAAAAACU
Molecule: transfer RNA, 65 nt
Filed under: Risoba prominens
Lineage: Eukaryota; Metazoa; Arthropoda; Insecta; Lepidoptera; Nolidae
Description: tRNA-Thr
Source: RNAcentral